This 755-nucleotide ribosomal RNA is filed under the name uncultured bacterium. Its description in RNAcentral is "bacterial SSU rRNA". It matches the Rfam family "Bacterial small subunit ribosomal RNA", at positions 28 to 776 of the family's 1533-position model. The record is from RNAcentral.
AUUGAACGCUGGCGGCAGGCUUAACACAUGCAAGUCGAGCGGAAACGAUGAUAGCUUGCUAUCAGGCGUCGAGCGGCGGACGGGUGAGUAAUACUUAGGAAUCUACCUAGUAGUGGGGGAUAGCACGGGGAAACUCGUAUUAAUACCGCAUACGUCCUACGGGAGAAAGGGGGCAACUUGUUGCUCUCGCUAUUAGAUGAGCCUAAGUCGGAUUAGCUAGAUGGUGGGGUAAAGGCCUACCAUGGCGACGAUCUGUAGCUGGUCUGAGAGGAUGAUCAGCCACACCGGGACUGAGACACGGCCCGGACUCCUACGGGAGGCAGCAGUGGGGAAUAUUGGACAAUGGGGGAAACCCUGAUCCAGCCAUGCCGCGUGUGUGAAGAAGGCCUUUUGGUUGUAAAGCACUUUAAGCAGUGAAGAAGACUCUUCGGUUAAUACCCGGAGACGAUGACAUUAGCUGCAGAAUAAGCACCGGCUAACUCUGUGCCAGCAGCCGCGGUAAUACAGAGGGUGCAAGCGUUAAUCGGAAUUACUGGGCGUAAAGCGAGCGUAGGUGGCUUGAUAAGUCAGAUGUGAAAUCCCCGGGCUUAACCUGGGAACUGCAUCUGAAACUGUUAGGCUAGAGUAGGUGAGAGGGAAGUAGAAUUUCAGGUGUAGCGGUGAAAUGCGUAGAGAUCUGAAGGAAUACCGAUGGCGAAGGCAGCUUCCUGGCAUCAUACUGACACUGAGGCUCGAAAGCGUGGGUAGCAAACAGG